CCUACGGGAGGCAGCAGUGGGGAAUAUUGCACAAUGGGGGAAACCCUGAUGCAGCGACGCCGCGUGAGUGAAGAAGUAUUUCGGUACGUAAAGCUCUAUCAGCAGGGAAGAAAAAAAGUCCUUUGGACUUUGGACGGUACCUGACUAAGAAGCCCCGGCUAACUACGUGCCAGCAGCCGCGGUAAUACGUAGGGGGCAAGCGUUAUCCGGAUUUACUGGGUGUAAAGGGAGCGUAGACGGCAGCGCAAGUCUGGAGUGAAAUGCCGGGGCCCAACCCCGGAACUGCUUUGGAAACUGUGCAGCUGGAGUGCAGGAGAGGUAAGCGGAAUUCCUAGUGUAGCGGUGAAAUGCGUAGAUAUUAGGAGGAACACCAGUGGCGAAGGCGGCUUACUGGACUGCCACUGACAUUGAUGCUCGAAAGUGUGGGUAUCAAACAGGAUUAGAUACCCGGGUAGUC
RNAcentral lists this ribosomal RNA (457 nucleotides) under uncultured bacterium. RNAcentral describes it as "partial 16S ribosomal RNA". It matches the Rfam family "Bacterial small subunit ribosomal RNA", at positions 338 to 795 of the family's 1533-position model. The record is from RNAcentral.